AUGCAAGUCGAACGGACGGAUCUGCAAGUCUUCGGAUGAGCAGUGAAGUUAGUGGCGAACGGGUGAGUAACACGUAGGUGACCUGCCCCGAAGUGGGGGAUAAUCCUUCGAAAGGAGGACUAAUCCCGCAUGGUCUCCGUGGGGUUUGAGGACACGGAGUAAAGCCUUGGCGCUUUGGGAGGGGCCUGCGGCCGAUUAGCUAGUUGGUGGGGUAAUGGCUCACCAAGGCGACGAUCGGUAGCUGGUCUGAGAGGACGAUCAGCCACACUGGCACUGGGACACGGGCCAGACUCCUACGGGAGGCAGCAGUGAGGAACCUUGCGCAAUGGGCGAAAGCCUGACGCAGCAACGCCGCGUGGGUGAUGAAGGCCUUCGGGUCGUAAAACCCUUUUCUGGGGGACGAGAGAGGACGGUACCCCAGGAAUAAGUCUCGGCUAACUACGUGCCAGCAGCCGCGGUAAAACGUAGGAGGCAAGCGUUAUCCGGAUUCAUUGGGCGUAAAGCGCGCGCAGGCGGCUCUGUAAGUCGGGCGUGAAAGCCCCUGGCUCAACUGGGGGAGGCCGUUCGAAACUACAGGGCUAGAGGUCGGCAGAGGGAAGCGGAACUCCCGGUGUAGUGGUGAAAUGCGUAGAUAUCGGGAGGAACCUCGGUGGCGAAAGCGGCUUCCUGGGCCGCACCUGACGCUAAGGCGCGAAAGCGUGGGGAGCGAACGGGAUUAGAUACCCCGGUAGUCCACGCCCUAAACGAUGGCAACUAGGUGUUGGGGGCUACUAACCCCCUCAGUGCCGAAGCUAACGCGAUAAGUUGCCCGCCUGAAGACUACGAGCGCCAAGCUUAAAA
RNAcentral lists this ribosomal RNA (840 nucleotides) under uncultured bacterium. RNAcentral's name for it is "partial 16S rRNA". It matches the Rfam family "Bacterial small subunit ribosomal RNA", at positions 55 to 899 of the family's 1533-position model. The record is from RNAcentral.